Molecule: ribosomal RNA, 685 nt
Filed under: uncultured bacterium
Lineage: Bacteria
Description: bacterial SSU rRNA
Rfam family: Bacterial small subunit ribosomal RNA
Source: RNAcentral
AGUGGCGCACGGGUGAGUGCGCGUAUGCAUCGUCCUUUUUUAGAGUAUAGGUCAUAGAAAUUUGGAUUAAUCCUCUAUAUUUUUUCCUGACUAAUGUUUGGUCGGUUAAAUAUGCGUAUGCGUCCUAUUAGCUUGUAGUUGAGGUAACGGCUCACCUUGACUACGUAGGUAGGGGCCCUGAGAGGGGGAUGCCCCCGUUGUUACUGAGACACGGACCACACUACUACGGGAGGCAGCAGUAAGGAAUAUUGGACAAUGGACGAAAGUCUGAUCCAGCCAUGCCGCGUGCAGGAUGAAAGCCUAUGGGUUGUAAACUGCUUUUAUACAGGAAGAAACACUCGUACGUGUACGAGCUUGACGGUACUGUAAGAAUAAGGACCGGCUAACUCCGUGCCAGCAGCCGCGGUAAUACGGAGGGUCCGAGCGUUAUCCGGAAUCAUUGGGUUUAAAGGGUCCGCAGGCGGUCUUUUAAGUCAGAGGUGAAAGCCUACAGCUCAACUGUAGAACGGCCUUUGAUACUGAAAGACUUGAGUUAUUAUGAAGUGGUUAGAAUGUGUGGUGUAGCGGUGAAAUGCAUAGAUAUCACACAGAAUACCCAUUGCGAAGGCAGAUCACUAUAUAUACUGACGCUCAUGGACGAACGCGUGAGGAGCGACAGGUUUAGAUACCCUGGUAGUUCCCACGG